CCUGUUGUGGCGCCAGCCGCACCGCAGGGUAGCUACGUUCGGGAAGGAUAAGCGCUGAAAGCAUCUAAGCGCGAAGCCUGUUCCAAGAUGAGAUCUCCUUCGAGGGCCGUUGGAGACUACGACGUUGAUAGGCCGCAGGUGUAAAGGCAGCGAUGCCAAAGCCGAGCGGUACUAAUUGCCCGAAGACUUACAAGU
RNAcentral lists this ribosomal RNA (195 nucleotides) under Salinivirgaceae bacterium. Its description in RNAcentral is "partial 23S ribosomal RNA". It matches the Rfam family "Bacterial large subunit ribosomal RNA", at positions 2717 to 2925 of the family's 2925-position model. Lineage: Bacteria; Pseudomonadati; Bacteroidota; Bacteroidia; Bacteroidales; Salinivirgaceae. The record is from RNAcentral.